UACAGAGGUCCCAAGCGUUGUUCGGAUUCACUGGGCGUAAAGGGUGCGUAGGCGGUCGGGUAAGUCUGAUGUGAAAUCUCACAGCUUAACUGUGAAACUGCAUUGGAUACUAUCCGGCUCGAGGAAUGGAGGGGAGACUGGAAUACUUGGUGUAGCAGUGAAAUGCGUAGAUAUCAAGUGGAACACCAGUGGCGAAGGCGAGUCUCUGGACAUUUCCUGACGCUGAGGAGCGAAAGCGUGGGGAGCGAACAGG
RNAcentral lists this ribosomal RNA (253 nucleotides) under uncultured bacterium. RNAcentral's name for it is "partial 16S ribosomal RNA". It matches the Rfam family "Bacterial small subunit ribosomal RNA", at positions 524 to 776 of the family's 1533-position model. The record is from RNAcentral.